AUUGAACGCUGGCGGCAGGCCUAACACAUGCAAGUCGAACGGUAACAGGAAACAGCUUGCUGUUUCGCUGACGAGUGGCGGACGGGUGAGUAAUGUCUGGGAAACUGCCUGAUGGAGGGGGAUAACUACUGGAAACGGUAGCUAAUACCGCAUAACGUCGCAAGACCAAAGAGGGGGACCCUCGGGCCUCUUGCCAUCGGAUGUGCCCAGAUGGGAUUAGCUUGUUGGUGGGGUAACGGCUCACCAAGGCGACGAUCCCUAGCUGGUCUGAGAGGAUGACCAGCCACACUGGAACUGAGACACGGUCCAGACUCCUACGGGAGGCAGCAGUGGGGAAUAUUGCACAAUGGGCGCAAGCCUGAUGCAGCCAUGCCGCGUGUAUGAAGAAGGCCUUCGGGUUGUAAAGUACUUUCAGCGGGGAGGAAGGGAGUAAAGUUAAUACCUUUGCUCAUUGACGUUACCCGCAGAAGAAGCACCGGCUAACUCCGUGCCAGCAGCCGCGGUAAUACGGAGGGUGCAAGCGUUAAUCGGAAUUACUGGGCGUAAAGCGCACGCAGGCGGUUUGUUAAGUCAGAUGUGAAAUCCCCGGGCUCAACCUGGGAACUGCAUCUGAUACUGGCAAGCUUGAGUCUCGUAGAGGGGGGUAGAAUUCCAGGUGUAGCGGUGAAAUGCGUAGAGAUCUGGAGGAAUACCGGUGGCGAAGGCGGCCCCCUGGACGAAGACUGACGCUCAGGUGCGAAAGCGUGGGGAGCAAACAGGAUUAGAUACCCUGGUAGUCCACGCCGUAAACGAUGUCGACUUGGAGGUUGUGCCCUUGAGGCGUGGCUUCCGGAGCUAACGCGUUAAGUCGACCGCCUGGGGAGUACGGCCGCAAGGUUAAAACUCAAAUGAAUUGACGGGGGCCCGCACAAGCGGUGGAGCAUGUGGUUUAAUUCGAUGCAACGCGAAGAACCUUACCUGGUCUUGACAUCCACGGAAGUUUUCAGAGAUGAGAAUGUGCCUUCGGGAACCGUGAGACAGGUGCUGCAUGGCUGUCGUCAGCUCGUGUUGUGAAAUGUUGGGUUAAGUCCCGCAACGAGCGCAACCCUUAUCCUUUGUUGCCAGCGGUCCGGCCGGGAACUCAAAGGAGGCUGCCAGUGAUAAACUGGAGGAAGGUGGGGAUGACGUCAAGUCAUCAUGGCCCUUACGACCAGGGCUACACACGUGCUACAAUGGCGCAUACAAAGAGAAGCGACCUCGCGAGAGCAAGCGGACCUCAUAAAGUGCGUCGUAGUCCGGAUUGGAGUCUGCAACUCGACUCCAUGAAGUCGGAAUCGCUAGUAAUCGUGGAUCAGAAUGCCACGGUGAAUACGUUCCCGGGCCU
RNAcentral lists this ribosomal RNA (1363 nucleotides) under uncultured bacterium. RNAcentral describes it as "bacterial SSU rRNA". It matches the Rfam family "Bacterial small subunit ribosomal RNA", at positions 28 to 1381 of the family's 1533-position model. The record is from RNAcentral.